Molecule: non-coding RNA, 388 nt
Organism: Paramuricea clavata
Lineage: Eukaryota; Metazoa; Cnidaria; Anthozoa; Malacalcyonacea; Plexauridae
Source: the annotation of a GenBank genome assembly
UUAUUUAUUUAUUUCUUUAGCUUUGCCAACUAGGGCAGGGUCACCACCACAGCAUAUGCCAAUUACUGUGGGCCCUUUUUACCUAACCCACCCUGUCAACUUUCCCUGUGGGAGGAAACCGGAGUACCCAGGGAAAACCCACGGCUUUCGGCAGAGCGUUGACUUUUACUCUUUUCACAUGGGGACUGGGUUCGAGUCGCACUGAGAAGGUACUUAGUGAGACUCGAACCUGCAGCCUCGGAUGUGAAAGGCAAGUGCGCUAACCACUUGGCCACCGAAGCCCCUUACAGUUAUGUGACAGAUAUCUUUCACAGUUAUGUAACAGAUAUCUGUCACAGUUAUAUGACAGAUAUCUGUCACAUAUCUGCAACAUAUAGGAAUUUGGCCC